UCGGGAAUUUUGGGCAAUGGGCGAAAGCCUGACCCAGCAACGCCGCGUGAGGGAUGAAGGCCCUCGGGUCGUAAACCUCUGUCGGGAGGGAAGAAAGGUCUCUGUUCGAAUAGGGCAGGGGCUUGACGGUACCUCCAAAGGAAGCCCCGGCUAACUCCGUGCCAGCAGCCGCGGUAAUACGGAGGGUGCAAGCGUUGUUCGGAAUCACUGGGCGUAAAGCGCGUGUAGGCGGUCUGGUCAGUCGGAUGUGAAAUCCCGAGGCUCAACCUCGGAACUGCAUCCGAUACUGCCAGGCUAGAGUCCCGGAGAGGGUGGCGGAAUUUCCGGUGUAGAGGUGAAAUUCGUAGAUAUCGGAAGGAACACCAGUGGCGAAGGCGGCCACCUGGACGGUGACUGACGCUGAGACGCGAAAGCGUGGGGAGCAAACAGGAUUAGAUACCCCCGUAGUCC
RNAcentral lists this ribosomal RNA (450 nucleotides) under uncultured prokaryote. RNAcentral describes it as "bacterial SSU rRNA". It matches the Rfam family "Bacterial small subunit ribosomal RNA", at positions 355 to 796 of the family's 1533-position model. The record is from RNAcentral.